UGAACUGUUUGCCCCGGGUUGGGUUCAAACCACAAUUCUUCUGAUCUCAGCCUACCAAGUAGCUAGGAUUACAGGUGUAAGCCACUUGCACCUGGCCAUUUUGGUGUUUUGAGGUAGGGUUUUGUUAUAUAGCCCAGCCUGGCUUGGAUCUCAAUGUGUAGUCCAGGCUGGCCUUGAACUUGCAAUCUUCCUGCUUCAGUCUCCUGAGUGCUGGGAAUACAGGCAUGCACCAUAAUGCCCAGGUAGAUCUCUUUCUAAAACAGCUCCUCACCCUUCUUGCAUCCUUUUCUCUGACCUUUUUCAGGGCAAUGGGCAUGAGGAGGUGGUAGCAUGUGCCUGGGAUGGACAGACAUACAUCAUUGAUCACAACCGUACUGUUGUCCGCUUCCAAGUGGAUGAAAAUAUCCGUGCCUUCUGUGCAGGCCUGUACGCCUGCAAAGAGGGCCACAACAGCCCCUGCCUUGUGUACGUCACUUUCAACCAGAAGAUCUAUGUAUACUGGGAGGUGCAGCUGGAGAGGAUGGAGUCCACCAAUCUGCUGAAGCUGCUGGAGGCUGAGCCGGAAUACCGCAUCCUGUUGCAGGAGCUGGGCGUGGAUCCUGAUGACCUUCCUGCGGCCCGAAGCCUGCUUCACCAGACACUCUACCACCCAGAUCAGCCACCACAGUGUGCUCCAUCAAGCCUCCAGGACCCCACCUAGCUGGGCUCUGCCUUUUAGUUGCUAAAGGAUCCUUCUGUACCCCUGCCCCACCCCAGAGUCAUCCGUGGUCUUGGCAGGAUAAGGAAUGUACAUUAUGAGGAGUAGGAUUUAAUUACUGGCAUGGAAGAAUGGUGGUGACCCUGGGAUGACUGUAAACCUACAGACCUCACAGUCUUUGGUGAAUGAAGAGACAAGUUGACCCUCUGCCCAUUUCCUCAUGGACCUAUUGGUAACAUCAGGUGGGUCACAGGAUCCAGACUUGUUCAGGAUCUUGCAGGAUCCCCCACCUCCCUAUCUGAUCUCCUUGCUCUCUCCCUAUUUGUGAGAACAGGCAAUGAGUCUCUCACGUGGCCCAACAACUACAAGGAGGCCACGCUUCAGACCCAGGGCAGUAGUAGAGGGAAGGGCUGCCCCCCAGGGCUAAGCACCACCUUUUGCACAGCUCUAGGUCCUUGGUGUUAAUAAUUAUUACUAAUAGUCUGUAUGUUUUAAGGCAUUUUUCAGGACAUUUUACAGUCUGAUCUUACUUAUGUCCCAACAACCCUGGGGUGAUGUUUCUUCAUUUACUGAAGUAGCUGUGUCAGGGCUUUCUCAUUUUACAUAUUUAUUUUUAGGUGCUGGGGAUGGAGCCCAGGGUCUUGCAUAUGCUAAGUAAGUGCUGUACCACUGAGCCACAGUUCUGUGCAGCUUGACAGGCCUUGCUUCCAUCUCCCUACCCACCUGUUUCUCCCCAGUACAUCUAAUUGUCUAUAAGAUGAUAAUGUUUACAAUUUGAUGUAGGUUUAUGAUCCAGACCAUAAUCAGAACUAUAUCUUGAGCCAUUUAUGAUCUAUCUGCUCUUGAUUCUCUGUGCUCUAAAUCAGUGUUUCUUAAGUUGUAGGUGGUAAUCCUUCAUGGGUUGUGGACAGGAUUUUUGAAGUAAAUGAAGUAGAAUAAAAUUCAAUAGAAAAUGUCAGUCCAUUGCUCACAGUGUAGGUAAGUAUUGUUUUGUCACAAUUGUGUGCAUACAUGUGUACCAAGUGCAAUGUAAAAUAACAAUUCACAAGGUCUGAUGGGUUAACCUGGGGAAGAACCCACAUUCGUCCUUCCUUCCCAUAGAGAAUGAGGACUGAGCUACCACUAGCUCCCAGUAGGGGGCAGGAAGACCAGAGAAGAAGAUACAUAGAGAAGCAUGUUUAUUCAAAUGGAGAAGCAGUUGGCUAAGGCUCUGCCCUGGGCCUGGGGUCUGUCAUUACAGAAGCAGCAGGAGGCAGACAGGAGAAGGAGCAGAGGGCCUAGGGCCAGGCAGCGGGUGAGGGGGGAAGUCCUUUUAGAGUUGAGACCAGGUACCAUGACACACGUGCUAAGCAAGCGCCUGCUCUCCUGAGGGCAGGGACCACAGGUGGCUCCUUGCAUCCUGAUUUUUCUCUAAUCUAGUCCACCCCAGGCUCAAGAUUCAGCUCCCUGUUCAGGUUGGUUAUACCAUUGUCUUGCUCUACUCCUAACCAUGACUGGAGAUUCAGAGCAGUUAGACAGACACUUUGGGGUGCGCCUUCCUAAGGUUUGGAUUCUUCUCUUCACAAUGAAGUUAGCCUUGGCCCUGAGCCUGGCAGGGGAUAGAAAGCCACUGAGUCCAGGACAAGACAAGCUCAAGUCAGAGACCAGAGAGAAGGAGGAACCAGGCCUAAGGAGGUGGAUAGUUCUAGAAAUGAGAAAGAACACUGAAUGGUAUAAGUGUGGGUGCUGACAGCCCCACCAUCCUGCCCCCCUUGUAGGGUGGCUCUCCCUAGAGUUUUUCUAUGCACUCUCCAAACACUCAGGAACCCAUGGGUACAAAAGCAAAUGGAAAAGGCUUAGUAUCCAAAGAAAGUAUUUGAAGCAUACCCAAGUUUCUGCGCAGGGUAAUCAAUCAGUAACUGGCCUCAGAGGUCUGCAGCCAGAAAGGGAAGUAAUGAAAGUCUUCAGCCUGUGGGUAGGACAUCCUGUACUAACUCCCCUUCUUGUACUGAAUGGUUCCAUUUUCUGUCUUCCCCCCAUUCAGCUGGGAAUGUGUGCAGAAUCAGAAGGACAGUAUUGGAGUCUGGGGCCCUGGGCAAUUAGACAAUUAGACAGUGUGGCUGUCUAAUUGUGGAAGACAAUGAGCCCCAGAGAUGAAGUGAGAGACAGGGGAUAGGGCAGUAAGGAGAGUUUGGGGUAGGGUUGGAAGCUGGUGACAGCAGUUGACUGCAGUCUUUGACUCCAAUGGCCAAGGGAAGCCAUUCUGCUUAGGUCCCUUUUUGCAGCCCUGACUUGGCUUUGCUCUUUUUUGGGAGGGGCAUGAGAGAACAGGGAAGCGAGAACCCCAGAAUCAUGAACCUCUUAGUGGAAACUCCUGGGGUACAGGACAGCCACUGAGAAGCAGAGAGGAAAGUAGCUGACUAAGAGAAAAGGGACAGUGGGCAUCAGCAGUGAGAAAAGGGACAGACAACAGCAGUCCCCAGCUGCCCAGUUCAGGCAGUGCCCUGCUCCCCACCAGCUCUUUCCCCUAAGGCAUGGU
Molecule: non-coding RNA, 3215 nt
Organism: Castor canadensis (American beaver)
Lineage: Eukaryota; Metazoa; Chordata; Mammalia; Rodentia; Castoridae
Source: RefSeq, a predicted model, not a curated record